AUGCACAGUGAACACCCAGGGGUGCUAAUGUGGUUCCCCCUGGUCUUUUUGCAUCUGUGCUACAGUAACUCUGAUCUGUACCUCUGCAUUAGAAGAGCUCAUUCCUCUACUACAUGUAUUCAACGGAUCAGAAUAAUC
Molecule: small nucleolar RNA, 138 nt
Organism: Platichthys flesus (European flounder)
Lineage: Eukaryota; Metazoa; Chordata; Actinopteri; Pleuronectiformes; Pleuronectidae
Product: small nucleolar RNA SNORA22
Exons: 1
Source: RefSeq, a predicted model, not a curated record